This is a long non-coding RNA of Amphiprion ocellaris (clown anemonefish), 1710 nucleotides long. RefSeq lists it as uncharacterized. The record is from RefSeq and is a predicted model, not a curated record. The transcript has 3 exons. Lineage: Eukaryota; Metazoa; Chordata; Actinopteri; Pomacentridae.
CCUUGUUACACAAAUGUCCGCAUGCCUUUGUCUUCAUGUGUGUAACAUAUAUAUAUACAUAUAUAGAAGACAGUGCGCUAGCGUAUCUAGUCUUCUAUAUAUAUCGAUGGUCGGCACGUCUGGUAGCAUCUCUGGCUGCUGUUGACCUUGUUUUUGGAGUAAAACACGGUGGAAGCUGAAUUAGUGAGGAUGACUCCUGCUACUGUCAUCUCUAAACUCCUCACACAUCUUUACCUGCACAUGAGGAAAAUCACUCCUGUAGAAUGCAGAUGUUCAGAGGGAGAUGAUGCCACAUCUGGUCCAGCCGAUGGAAGGUCUUGAAGUUCUCUGACUGGCCUCGACUGAAGAUGGUCGUCUCACUGGAUUUAAGGUUCAGAUGCUCAGUAACAAACUCCACCAAUGUGCCAACAGGGAAGCUUUAGGUUUAUUAAAUGUUGCUAUGAAGGUAUCGCUGUUUUUCUUUGUGAAUGCAAUGUGCUCCAACUGAAACUUGAAUUAGAACUUAGAAGUAAAUCCUUCCAUUUGAAAGGAUUUAGUUGCAUUAAUAACCUGAUAACAUUCAAAUUUUUAUUCCAGUCUUGGUUGGAAAUAGAAUCUCUGUAUUGAUUCAGGUAAAAACUGAACUUCACAGCAUGUUGGAGCAAAACAACCAGAUGAAAACUGUGAUGGUGUUGGAUUGUCAGACCGUAAUGUUGCAGCUCAAAGCAGCUUUUCUAGCUCAGUUCAUUCUGACAUUCAGCUAUGAAUCAACACAGCAGAUGGUGAUCCAUGCUGUGGAAGUCUCACAUCUCCUGAUUUAAUGGAGCUGCUUUGCACUUUUUACACUGUUUAUUCACCAACACUUUAUUUAAUAAAAGUCCCAUCUAGUUUUUAUGAGGAAUGUGAUGUUUUAAUUUCUCUAUGAAUAACUGCAGUCUAAUGCAACAGCUGGAAUUGUAACAUCUGUCCUGAUAUUGAUCAUGAAGUAUUGAUCAGAAUACUUAUGGUUAGCAGUCAUCCCUGAAGUUUUACAUUAAAAUCUUUACUUGUGUUGUGAACUUUGGUAAGAAGCAGAAACGUUAGCGUUGCCAUGGAUACAUGAGUGUUAAAUUCUGUCCAUGUUUCCAUUUUGGGAAAUGCAGUCCAGUUCCAGAAUGUGGAGGAAUUUAGUCUCAAUCACAGACAACAAAUAUUAUCUGAAAGUCGGGUUAUUGUUGUUUAUCAGCACAAUACAAAAAGAUUAAUGUUAGAAAUAUUCCAGUUAAGACUCUAGAAUACCAUGAUUUAUGUAUAUUUACCUCAAUAAUAUGAAUGUUCAGGUUAAGAUUGUACAGUGAUAUUUAUUAUGUAAGUUUAGCUGAUUAAAGUUUAUGACUGCACUAAAAUAUUAUUUAAAUUGAUAUCAUUAUUAUAAUAUUUAGGGUCAGACCCUACAGUACUGAGAUUAAGAAGUUAAAUAUUCUAUAAAAUGUAAAUACACUGAACUCAUUUGGAUAUAUUUAAGUGAGACUCUACAAUAUUGUUUAUGACACAAAUCUAUCUAAAUCAAAAUUUUAAUCAUUUUUACUCCAAACAUUUACUGGACUGAUUUAAAUAUUAAAAUCACUCCUUUCUAAUCCUCUGCUGUACGUUCAAACCUGAGGCCUUAAAUAGAAACACACAAGUAUCUGAUUGAAGGAACUUCUGCAGAGUCCUGGUUCUAGAACAUGAUGAUAGAAUUAUAGACAAACU